This is a long non-coding RNA of Anas platyrhynchos (mallard), 10951 nucleotides long. RefSeq lists it as uncharacterized. Lineage: Eukaryota; Metazoa; Chordata; Aves; Anseriformes; Anatidae. The record is from RefSeq and is a predicted model, not a curated record.
UGAACAGGAUAUUGAAGAAAAAAUGUUUUAGGAACUAAAAUAAAUGUCUUAAUUUCCUCCCUCCCUUCUUCUUCCUGGGAUGUAAUGGAUAGAGUUAAAAAGAGGCACUGAUACUGGCUGCAGCUUCAUUUCUUGACAUGAUUUAUGUAACUGUAUGUCGAAACUGAAAAGAUCUGGAUGAAAGAGCUCUGCUUUUACAGAGACCCACUCCUCCGAGGUUUAAAUCUUAGAGACAAUUUUAUGUUGUGAAGCGUCUAGAAGUCUCUUUGGACCUUUUCCAGUGCAGUGUCCCGUGGAACAUCUUCCUUCGAAGGCACCCCAUGCGUGCCCUCUGACUUCAUGCCUAUAGGACAAAAAAAAAGCAUCUCGGGUUCAAAUGUCCGGGGCUCCUGCUCCUGUAAUCCCUGCCUAAGUGUUAUUUGGACAGGGGAAGAGGAUAGAUGAGUAACAGCAGUGGCAUUUCAAUUGCAGAGGAGACAGCCUAGUCUAAUAAACAGUACCUCUGUUACGAUUGCGUUGUGUGUUAAUGCCACCAUCCCUUCCAGUACCAGACUUGUAAUGUCCCUGAGAUAAUCGUGGUGACUUCUGUAAGCAAAGUGCAGACGGAACAGAAGAUAGUAAAGAAAAACAGACUUGCUUAAUUCUUUGUCUGUCAGCUCUUCCCUUUACUCAAUUACUUUUGGAUCUGACUUUUUUCAUUCACAAGUGAUCUCUCUGAUCUGCUGCCUCAAGUACACCCUAAGCCACUUCUCUCUUCCUUCUCCAGUUUCUUAGGCUUGUAUUACUGCUCCCUGAUGGCUCUGAUCUCACAUUUUGAGCUGCCCCAGCCCUUUCUGAUACUCCCAAUGAAACCACAACUAUCCUCUCUCUUCAAUCAUUCUUGGGUGUAAAUUUGAUCACUACAUUAGUCUGCCAGCUAACUUCUCUGGAGGCUUCAAUACCCCACAGCUUGUCAUGUAUGCUCAGGCUGAACAUGGAGACAGUAUAAAAAUGGGAGAACACAAGGCACUUGUAGCUGAAGGAAAGAUUGCUUUCAAACAUGGAGCUAUCAAGUGUUGCAUAGGACGAACACACACUACAGGCUGUUUCCCAGGCCACAUGUUACUUCCCAGGCCACCUGAUUUCCCUGGUAAGGAGACAGGAUAGCAGGACUGGGACCCUUGACUUUUUGGCAACUAAUAGCUGUAAGAAGCUUCUCUGAUGAGCAGGAGAUGAGAAGACAUUGACAUCAUGGCAAAGCAAAGCCUACGGAAACUUCCUCUAUGCUUUCUGCACUUAUCAGCCACUGGCUGUUUCAUGGAGGGACUGGCCAGAUCUCUUCUGAUGAGACUUGUUACUGACAAGUGCCUGUCAUUAGAACUUGGACCAAGACUGAAGCACCAGAGUCUCAGGAGUCCUGCAGGCCCAUUGCUGAGCCACAAGGAGCUGCUCUAAUUAAAAGAAGCAAGAGAAGAAAUAAUGAAUUUGAGAGCACAUGGCAAGGGACUGCAUCUGAACACCAAGUGACUGCUGACGGAGACGAGAGGAACACUGGGUAUUAGUGAAGUUCCCAUGGCUUGAAAGAAGGCAAAUUUGGCUCCAGCAUGCUGGUUCCAGGGCAGCAGCUGAAGCUCAGGAGAUGCCGUGAGCCAUGCACCCAUCGUGGGCUCCAUCCCCUGGGGGUGAGGGUGCCUGACCCUUCCUGGCCAGGCCCUGCCUAGAGCAUACUCACAAGUGAAAAGUAACAAAGACUGCUAAUACGGUAAUCCCAUCGGGCAAAACGCUAAGACCGGCUGCCUGCCAUGGUGACCAGAACCAGGAGUGGAAUGGAACAGAAUGGAACGGAACAGAACGGAAUGGAAUGGAACAGUUCAUUGGGAGGGGACCUUCAGAGAUCACCAUGUCCAACUGCCUGACCCCUUCAGGGAUAACCACAAGUUACAGCAUGUGUCUGAGGGCAUUAUCCAGAUGCCUCUGAGCACUGACAGGCACAGGACAUCAGCCACCUCUCUGUGAAGUCUCUCUCAGUGUUUGACUACCCCCACAGUAAAGGAACUUUUCCUCGUGUCCAUUCUGAACUUCCCCAGCACAGCUUUGUGCUGUCCCCUUGUGUCCUGUCAUCAGUGGCCAGGAGAAGAGCCCAGCACCCCCCUCUGCACGUCCCCUCCUCAGGAAGCUGCAGAGAGCAGUGAGGCUGCCUCUCGGCCUCCUCAGCUCCAGACAGGACAGCACAAGUGUCCUCAGCCUCUCCUCACAGGACAGGCCUUCCAAGCCUUUUAGAACAUUUGUUGCUCUCCUCUGGAUGCUUUCAAGUAAUUUAACACCUUUUUUUUUUUUAUUUUGUGAAGCCCAGAACUGCACACAGUGCUCAAGGUGAGGCUGCACCAACACUAAACAUAGCAGGAGAAUCACCGUGUCUGACCGGCUGGCUGUGCUGUGCUCAAUGCACCCCAAAAUGUGGUUUGCCCUUUUGGCAGCCAGGGCACACCCCCAGCCACUCAUCUCCAAAUCUGUGCCAUUGCUCCAUCACAGAAUACAAGGGUGAAGAGCAAGUGAUGUGUGGGGGAUCUAGGGAAUGUGGCAGACCAGGAAAUUAAGUCUUUGAAAUCCCAGCUGAGCAUCAGAGCCACGGGACAGGCUGACUUCCCUGCACCCAGCGGGGAGUGCAGGAGCAGGCAGAAGUGCCAUUUGACCAAACUGUUUUGUUGAUGAAAGACCCAGGGUAAUGGUGGGAAGCAGGAGGAGCAGGGUGUCUGACAGGCUAGUGGGUGCUCUUGUCCUCAUCUAAGCAUGUCAGCCCUUAAGAGCAGGGGAGUCUUAAUGUUUAUUUAGGAGAUGAGCAAGACUAGGUGCCUUGAGAGGACGUGGUUCUCCUUCAGCUGUCAGAAAGGAGAUGUGUGGAAAUGACUAACCUGUUAGUGCCUGACAGCAGGGACUUAGGGAGACAUUAGUUAUUGCUCAGACUUGCUGUUUCUCCACAGGUACCCGUCAGACCCAGCUGACACUUCAAGCACAAAAGAAGUAUUUGGCACUGGUCACUCCUUGUGAAAAUGUUUUAUAUAUUCCCUUUUCACACUCUGGCUUUGUUCUCAUGAGGUUUUGUGUUAGCAAAGGUUUUCAUCUUUGUUCUCUGCAACAGCCAGCAGAUGUGCCUGAACCCAGGCACUACGUGCAGGCUUUGCUGCCUUGACUCUGUUUUCCACGCUCCCCCUGGCUGAGGAUUAUGGCUAUUAAUGAGGUAUCUACAUUUAAAUAUUGCAGAAAACUGUUCCAGUUCCUGCCUGCAACUGGGUGGGUAGCUCAGUCAUGUUGUGUUCCUGUGCCUGUGUUCCUAUGGCCAGUGCAAAGGAGUGGUGUGAGCUUUUUUAUUGCCCACCUUGUCCUGUUUGAUGAGGCCAUCUCCAAGAGGAAAGAAGGCUGGUCUGGGACAUGGACUUAUGCACCUGCUGCACUGCAAGGUUGGCUUCUCCUGUGUUGCUGAUGGGACUCUGACUGACUUUACCUCUGUUUGACAGAAUUUUUAACAGCCUCUUCACACUUCUUUUCCUUUGCAGGCAGCUUAAAGUAUUUCUGGUCUUCUUUUGGAUUGCUGUUUUGUUGCUGCAGCUUUUAGAUUUACCAGUCCUUUAAAGACCUCAUUUAUUCUCCAGAACACUGAAGGAAGAAACAAAAUGCAGCUCUGCCUUACAGAUAGAAAGUUAAGUAGUGGCAAAAGCUACUGGGGAGUAGAGGAGAGGUUCAAACUCAUAUAUCUUCAAAAAUCACUAUCCUAGAAAAAAAUGCUAGCUAAUACUGAGAGCCCUUUCUCUCCUUUUAGCUUCCCAGUAGAAGCUGGGAGAACUGCAGUUCUGUGCUCUCUUUAUCAGGAGGCCUCCAUGAGCUCUGGCUAUGGAGGCCUCCUGAUAAAUUCUGGUCUAUGUCUGCCUGGGAUGAUGCAGGUUUCUUUUUUAAAUCCAAUAAAAAUGCUACUCCUGGACAUUGCUCCUCUGCCUGUUCUCACCAGAAAAACAAUUAAACUUUCCUUAAAUUCUAUCUGCUUUGCAGAUUGGUUGUUUGAAGUUGCAGAUAGGACCUGCGGUGUUCUGUGGGGAAGGAAGAUAUUUGUGAGGUCCUUUUUGGAAAAUGCAACCAGUGGUUUCAGAUCAGUUUUAGUUAGUAAAGACUUUCCCUGAAAAAGGCGUAAGCGAUUGCACACUAAAGCCUUUUUUUGUUUUAACCACCUUAGUGGUGGCUGUACUUCCCCAGUGAUUCCCUGAAAAAUAGACUACAUCAGUUUCUCUAUUACCUUCUGUCGCUUGCUUUUUUUCUCCAAUACCAUCAGCCCCGUUAAAAUGAGGAUAUUAACUGGAAGAGUGUUAGUCCAGUCACUUUUGUGCUGGGCUGUUGCAUGUUGCUCUUAAGAGAAAGCCUUAGGAGAGGCUGUUCUCCUCUUCAUCCAUGUUUUGUACCUCCUGCUAGCACUACUCAGCUUUGCAAAUUCAACUGUGACUUUGCAUUGCCUGGACUUCUUUGCUCCCAGGGUGGCAGGCUCAUACAUGGCGGUCUCUCCGGCCUUUUGGGUUCUACGUAUUGGAUAUGUUAGGUCACUGUCAUGAUGAAGAGGAACUUCAUUGAUCCAAAACCUGGGAAUGUAUCACUUUUUGGACUACUGAAAUUUGUAGAUUAUGUAAUGGCAGUGUGAGGGUUACAUGCACAAUUACGGUUUCUUAAUAUGCACAAAUACGGUUUCUUAAUUCUUUAGCAAACAAUAAUAAAAAAAAUCACAUUGGCAGUAGGAAAAGCAAUCACUUCAGAAUGAAUGCAUUAAACAUAAAAAGUCACCACAGGUUUUCUGUGUCAGAAAAUAAACUACAAAAUUUACAUGGAUUGUGUAAAUAUACAAAACAAGAACACUGCAGGCAAAUGUUUUCAAGACACAGGUUUAGCCAAUAUCAUUGUGUUCCAGAAGAAAUCAGAAAUGCCAAAUGAGAAGUCCUGGGUGGUUAUUUAUUUUGUCAGAUGCUGUGUGUUUGUGGAACAACAUUAUGUGAACAGUGUUUGUACUGGGCUGCCAUUAAAGACAGGCAACACCCAUCAGAUACUGCAAUAGCAGCUUUAUGCAUUAUUUGUUAGCUAAAGUGAUAUUGUUAUUGUUGCCUGAGAUUUCAAUAUCCACACAGUUAUCCUGUGUGCUCAGGUCAACUAUUUCACCAUCUAUUACUUCAGGUAGAGCAGCCUUGUUGUAUCAAUACCAUAACCAUUGCCAUCGUUACUUAGCAGUGAAAUGUCAGCUCCACUUGCCAUGGCUUCACCAGAUUGUUGUCUCCACUCCUUAUCAACAUUCAUUAUAUCAGGAUAGGUGUUGGGAUGGGGACUUAUUCCAGUAACACAGAAAUAUUUAGGAUAGAUAUUACUCCAUAUUUUUCCUGCCAUUCAGAUUCAGUCUUCCAUGGUUGCAGGCUGACAAGAUUUUACAACGUUUCUUUUUCUACUGAAGAUGUGCCUGUAGUUCUGGAGAUUUUUGAACAACAUUGUGUGUUCCUUAGGGUCAUCUGACCUUGAUGGCAGCUGAACAGUGCUUUCCACCAGGGUGUCCUCCAGAAACGUGCAUGUUCAUUUGGGUGAUACCAUGGGCUUACACGGAGCAUCCUCCAGAAAAUGAAGGGAUAUUAUCAGUGAACUUUUGUCUGCCAGUGAGCUGUAGCUCUAGGAACAGAAGAGCUGAAGAGUCUGGAUGUGAAGUCUGGCCUUGCUUAGGCACUGGGCAGUCCCAUCAGUCUGUCCAGGAACACAAAGACUUGGGGUAAAAGCUAUCAGGAGCUAAGGCAAGUGGAAAAUGUGUGAUGCAGUCUUGCCUGAAAGAAGAAUGAUGCUUUUGGCACUUCAAUUUUUCAUGCAUUCUUCUUAAAGCUAUCUCCAAGAAGGAACACAUUGCAGACUUAGAGUGUUUUAUGACAGCUGAUAUUCAAUUUUGACUUAUUGAUAAGUACCUAAUGAUAUGAGUUUGCCUGGAAAGAUUAGAGGUCUCCAAGAUUGGGAGGCUUUGUCUGAGAACUGCAAUUUGUAUUCAUUUACUUUGCCUCUUCCUGAAUCUCUCAAAACAGUCAUGUCUGUUCUUGAGCUCAAUCCCAUUAACAUCUUGGUGCAACAGUUCUCCCUGAGCAGGAGGCAACCUGGGAGAAGCUGGACAGCCAUCUGAGAAGAUGUCCCUGCUUACAGCUUACCACAGGAAAAUCACUGUCUUUGUCUCUGUGGAUGCUUCAGGGUUCUACAGCUGUCCGAGGGAAUAAGGCUCAUGUGGUGGGUCUGACCAUCUGCCAUUCCCUCUGCAAAAGCUUCUCCCCCAUUUAAAAUGACAAGCAAAUGCAGUUGCUGAACAGAAGCCUUCUACAGCUUUGUCUCUGCAGUGGAUGGAGGUGUUUUCCCAGGCUCCUCCUUGAACUGAACAAGGGGUCAGCUCAGCUGGGCUGCAGUAACUACUGCAAGUCCUUAUUUCUCUCUAUAUCAUUUUGGUGGUGGGGGUCAAGGGUGGAGGACAGGGCAGGGAACAAAUUAUGAGUGAAAUAAACUUGAACUUUGGCUACUAGAGUAGUGAGCUCAAACCCUCCAGACCACUGGAGAAGUGGACAUCAGAUGGGAUGUAACGAAAGUGUGUCCCUCCUCUUAUGGGCAGGUGUCUUGCUGGCAAUUGGGUUUGCACCUGGGAACAUGCCGUAGAGGGACUCUGAGCAUGGGUACCAGAGUGGGUCCCUCUGGGCAUCAGUGUCUCAGACCUGAGACAGGUGCUGGGCUGUCUUUGCUGGAUAUGACGGAGUUGUAAGAUGUGAAAGCUUAAAACCAGAGGAACAUUACUGGUAAACAAAACAAAACAAAACAACCAACCAAACAAACAGAAACAAAAACAAAACCAAACACAAACAAACAAAAAAGCAGGCACUCAUUGAGUUAGGCAAAGAUUUGAGGGCUGCAUUCUGAACUCAGUUCUGCCUCAUUUCCACUCUGGGUACUUAUGUCCUUAUGUGGACUUUCCUCUGAGUGCUUGUUUUUCAGGGGUGACUAUAUAAAAAAAGGAAAUAAUGUGUCAAAGACAACCAGCGAAGCUGACUCUUCCAACUGGGUAGCAUUGCACUGUCCUAUGUGACUUCUCUCCCCUCCUUUCCCUUGCUUCUGACAUUUCUUAUAUCACCUUUUUCCUUCCUGCAGCUAUAAAUGACAGAGAUGGGUACUGAGGAAGAAAUACCUUUUUUUUUUUUUUCCAGAGCCAUAAAAAUAGUUUCCUUGGUUUUAUUAGCAGUGCAUGGAUAUGAGUUCAGCCUCCUCUCCAAAAUAGACAAUAAGCAGGAAGUACUCAAUUUGGCAAUGCAUUUGGGGUUAGAAACAUUGUUGCUUUCAAAACAUUUCACCAGAGUCAUUAAUUAAGUGCGAGAACAGAGAACUUUGACCAAACAAAACUAGGGGAAAUUACAUUUCUCUUUCCUGACCUAUAUAAAAAGCAUUUGUGCUUAAAUCAUAUUGAAAGCUUUAAAGGGACCUCUUUCCCAGAGGAGCAUGCAGAAAACAUAAAUGUCCUGCAAUAGGAUUGUUAGUAGGAUUUGGCUGUGUUUCCUCUUCUUUGCAAAUGUUUAGUGAGAGUGUUUAUGGGAAGGGAGUAUAAGCAAGGAUAGUGCAGCUAUGGAGUUUAGUUUUUCAAAUGAAAGAGCAUGAACCAGGAAAUUUUCUCCUAAUGACGAGGCUUGUCCUGCCCAAGAACAAAGACAAAUCCAUCCCAUUUCUGUUCAGUCCCAGUGACUAUCAUGGUGAUUAACUCCAACAUCUUGCACAGAAUAGCUGAGGAAUAACUUUAGUUUCAGCGGAGCCUGAGAGACUUGGGUAAAUAUUGUCAGAGGACUGCAGACUGUCAGGUAUUCCCUGUCUCCAGAGUUGACCAUGAUUUGAUAACCACAGUCUGAGAGAGCAGGUCUGGCUUUCCUUUGAUUUGUUAAUAGACCUUACCCGUCCAAAGAAGGGAGAAGUCUCAGCACAUCUCAUCUCACACCUGAGCACAGCGGUGCUGCAUUCCUGGAUCCAUGUGUACAUGCUAGCCUGCCACGGGGUCAGCACAUGCCUGCUUCACCAGGGAUGGGGAACAAGCCCCAUUCAUGAGUCUGAGCUCUGCUGCUCCUUGCAGCAACAGGUGACUACAGGUGUGUGAAUGAUCUAAAGCCCAAAUGCCAUGAAAUGCUCUGCCCUAAAAUACUGCCUGUUUCCUUUCACUUCCACAUCUGUGCUGAUUGGUGUUAUCCUUGGGCCUGCAACAGAUUCACCCCCAGCUACCAUCUGCAAUAGGCUGUGGAUGUGCAAAAUUGGUCAAAGUAUGUCACUUGAGGAGCUGAAUGCCUCCUUCUCUGCCCAUGGCCCAGAACCGCUGCUGCUGCUGUGAGCAAUGUUGCCUUUUGGGACUUGCUGUCCUACUGCUUUCUUCCAUUAACCUUCUUUACUCUAGUCCAGAGAGUUUUUCAUUCUUUUUUUUUUUUUUUUUUUUUUUUUAAAUAUAUAUAUUUUUUUUGGUCAAAGAGGGAUGAUCUCCAGCUGCAGCUGCCUUUUCCACAUGAGACAAUUUGUUCUUUCACUGUGUUUUCAUUGAUUACUCAUCCCUUUAUACAGCCUACCUCAUGAGUCACUUUGCCUACCUACCUGCACCCAGCGUGGUGUGCUCUCCACCAGUUCCUUGUUCUGCAGCAAUUACCAGCAUUUUAUUGCUGGAUUUUUCUCUCGAGGACUCUUUCUGUGCCAACAUACUUCAUUAAUUUCUAAUUUUGCAAACCACAAAUUGUGACAUAGCUGCAGGAGCUGGAAAUAGGAAUGACUACAUACCCUCUCCUAGAAGUACGCAUAGGGAGUUGGGAGGAAACUUGCCAACAAGUCCCUUAUAAUUGCUUUCUGUGAACGUUUACCCAGCCAAAUUCUGCUCUCACAUACAUUUGUUCAUUGUAAAAUUGUUUAAGUGGACUCAGUGGCUGGCAUUUUGUUGUAUGGAUGGAGAAGAACACUUUCCAAGAUGAGAACAAAUUAAAUUAUUCAAAUCUUUUCACUACAGCCCUAGCAUGGUGGCAUGAGGUUCUGCAAACAAACUCUAUAAGGCUUUUAUGGAUUUCUGCACAUUUUUGUUUGUUGUUUUUUGUUUGUUUGUUUGUUUGUUUAAGAGAAUAACCUAAUUUUAGGUUAUUUUCUCACAUGAAAAUCUCUUAGUGCUACUAUGAGCCCUGAAAGUAAAAAAGUUUAAAUCUAUUGCUAGUGUGUUAUGAACAAUUUUAUAAAUAUUUGUAUAAAAGAUUAGUUUUUGUAUUAACUCUGGGACAAUGUUAACUUGACAUGAAAUACCUAAUAGUUACAAUAUGUAUAUGUCUUGGACUUAAGAUACCUAAAAUUAUUGUUAUUCUUUGCAAGUGGAAUGCAUACCAAGCAGGUCUGGGGCACAGGAACAACAAUGCAGGAUUAAUGAUAAGAACAGCCCUGAAAUGAAGCUCAAUAUAAUCUCAAUUGACCUUUCUGUCUCCUCAUCUGAAGCAGACCAAGGAGGAUUGGUUGCUUCUGUUCUUUCCCUGGAGGUACUUUGACAAUAUUAGAAGAAAAAGUGCAAACUUCCUUCUGUUUUCUUGUCACUGUGAUCCCAGCAGGGAAGGGUACUCUUUGUGAAAAUGAUGAUAAGCCAAUCUUCGACGAUUCAGCUAAUCUCUCCGGUAUACCUUCCAACAAAAAUGGAAGCAAGUUUUGCCACUCAGACAGCACAACUCCAUUCACAAGUGAGUUCAGACCAUUAAAGUCAUUGGAUGUAGGACAUGACCACUGCCAGUUGGAGCUGAGUGCAAGCCAACCACCUCAGGUAGAGAGCCUGGUACCUCACACCCAGGGUCCAGAGUGACCUUGUCUCUCUGAGCAUUGGCGUGGGUGGUCAGGGGCCUGUGAUGGGGUCCAGAGAGUCUGCCUCAUUUCCCCAGCCACUGGGCUUUGUCGGUAAGCUAUCGAUCUGAGCAUUUGGGACUUGUAAAGUCAUAGCACCCACAGCACUUCAGGCUUUGCACUUUCCCUGGUGUGUUCUGUUGUAUUAAAAAUGCUGUUUUGUUGUUGUUGUUGUUUGUUUGUAUUUAAAUGGGGAGAAAUAGGUGUUUACUUUAUGUGCAUGUGAAAAUAAAAGCUGAGAUCCUUUUCUGAACCUCUGCCACUCACAUUGCAUGCAGCUUUUUGUUCUCAUCUAUUACUAUUACAAUAACUAUUGCUAUCAUUUCAUUACAAUUCACUGUUUUUCUUGGUUCUAAUAGUUCUCAAGGAUUCCAGUCUUGUGAAAUGUUGUAUAAAAAAAAGUGAAGAAUGGUCUUCCAAAAUAUCCCUUACAUUCAAUUAAAUGUUGAUAUGCUUUUUCUAUUAAUAUGUACUUUCCAUCCUGAAACACCAUCAUAUAAAUCAGUGCGUCAGCCAGCUGAACUAAGCUUGUGCCUUGGGAUGCGAUUUCCAAGUAGUCCUUCCCUGUACAUUCCAAUCUUGAUUUAAUCCAGGUUUAUCUCAGUUUUGCAUUAGCUGAUUGGGAACAGGUUUAAGCUCAAAUGGACAAAGCCACCCUUAAACUGAAGUGAGAGUGUUCAUACACAGUAUCACAUAAAUUAGCCAGAAAGGGUGCAAAUUCUGUCUGUAGAAAUCUUCAUUGGUGUUCACCUUCACCACCCUUUCUCCUUUUUACUGAACCUAUCCCUGCUCCUGGGUUUGUUUCCUUUCUGUUCUCCCAAGACUGUAGCAGAAUUGAAGUGAUUGGGGUCUAAAAAUUCAGAGAAAUCUAUGUGCAUUCAACAUUUUUGUUCUUUUAACAUCUGAUGAAGGCUCAUCAGAGGGCAGUGCACUUAAUUUGUUGCGAGACUCUGCAGCUCCCUACUGUUUCUGGUACAGCAAUGAAUUCUUGUUUUCUUCUUCAUGGGUAAUCCAAUGGUUGUAAGAAGUAUGAAAAAAAAAAAAAAAAAAAAAA